GACGAACGCUGGCGGCGUGCUUAACACAUGCAAGUCGAACGGAAAGGCCCUGCUUUUGUGGGGUGCUCGAGUGGCGAACGGGUGAGUAACACGUGAGUAACCUGCCCUUGACUUUGGGAUAACUUCAGGAAACUGGGGCUAAUACCGGAUAGGAGCUCCUGCUGCAUGGUGGGGGUUGGAAAGUUUCGGCGGUUGGGGAUGGACUCGCGGCUUAUCAGCUAGUUGGUGGGGUAGUGGCUUACCAAGGCUUUGACGGGUAGCCGGCCUGAGAGGGUGGCCGGCCACAUUGGGACUGAGAUACGGCCCAGACUCCUACGGGAGGCAGCAGUGGGGAAUAUUGCACAAUGGGCGGAAGCCUGAUGCAGCAACGCCGCGUGCGGGAUGACGGCCUUCGGGUUGUAAACCGCUUUCGCCUGUGACGAAGCGUGAGUGACGGUAAUGGGUAAAGAAGCACCGGCUAACUACGUG
Molecule: ribosomal RNA, 468 nt
Filed under: uncultured bacterium
Lineage: Bacteria
Description: partial 16S ribosomal RNA
Rfam family: Bacterial small subunit ribosomal RNA
Source: RNAcentral